Molecule: non-coding RNA, 72 nt
Organism: Phrynosoma platyrhinos (Desert horned lizard)
Lineage: Eukaryota; Metazoa; Chordata; Lepidosauria; Squamata; Phrynosomatidae
Source: the annotation of a GenBank genome assembly
GCCACUGUGUUGUAGUGGUCUGAGGGUUGGACUGUGACUCUGGAGACCAGGGUUCGAAUCCCCGCUCGGCCA